Molecule: ribosomal RNA, 253 nt
Filed under: uncultured microorganism
Description: partial 16S ribosomal RNA
Rfam family: Bacterial small subunit ribosomal RNA
Source: RNAcentral
UACGGAGGAUGCAAGCGUUAUCCGGAUUCAUUGGGUUUAAAGGGUGCGUAGGCGGGUUUGUAAGUCAGUGGUGAAAUCUUGCCGCUUAACGGUAAAAUUGCCAUUGAUACUGCAGAUCUUGAAUAUGGAUGAGGUAGGCGGAAUGUGUAGUGUAGCGGUGAAAUGCAUAGAUAUUACACAGAACACCGAUUGCGAAGGCGGCUACCUGGCCGGUAACUGACGCUGAGGUGCGAGAGCGUGGGGAGCAAACAGG